RNAcentral lists this long non-coding RNA (6708 nucleotides) under Sus scrofa (pig). Its description in RNAcentral is "lncRNA (ENSSSCG00005033900.1)". The record is from RNAcentral. Lineage: Eukaryota; Metazoa; Chordata; Mammalia; Artiodactyla; Suidae.
GUGGCAUAUGGAGGUUCCCAGGCUAAGGGUCAAAUCGGAGCUGUAGCUGCCAGCCUACACCACAGCCACAGCCAUGCCGAGGUGAGUCUGUGACCUACACCACAGCUCACAGCAACGCUGGAUCCUUAUCCCACAGAGCGAGGCUAGGGAUCGAACCUGCAUCCUCAUGAGAUUCAUUUCCACUGAGCCAUGAUGGGAAUUUCCAGAAUUUAUGAAACAAUUCCUCCUUUCUCUUCAUCAUGCAGUAAACCCUCUCUCAUGUUAGGCUCUGCGUCUAGACUAUUCUGUUCCAUUGAACAGUGUGUUCCUACACUAAUAACCACAUGGUCUUAAUUAGCAUAGUUUGAGUGCAUUUUAUAUCUGGAAAUGCAAAUCUCCUCUGAUUAUACAUCAUUUUCAGAGUUCUCUUGGCAAUUCCAGCUGGCUGGUUCUGUAAGAUUUUGAAAAUAAUUCAACAUUUCAAAAACAUAAGAAAGAAAGAAAACCGCAGCUGAGACGUUUAUUGUACGGGGGUGAAAUGAUACAUGGCUUGGAAAGAACUGACAUCUUGAUCACACUGGAAGAAACUGGCAGCCCUCAUCCCCCUUUAUUUCUUUUUUGUCAGUUGAUACAUUUUUGUCAUUUUCUUCAUAUGCAUUCUACAACACUUCUCGUUCUGUUAUUCCUAUACAUCUUUCUUUAUUUUUACUCACAAGGAAACUACACCAAGCAAGGAACGUCUGAAAUAAUAUGCCUAAAUCUCAACACCACAUCAUGAAGGAUACGCUUCUCUCUCCAGGCCCUGACAGAGCAAAUGAACAGAAGGAUGAAUGGCGAAUGAGUGACAAAUGGGUCCAAAAGCCUAGUGAUGAAAAAGAACUGGGUUGGUCAAACCACAUCGCAGAUGCAUGAUGGUUCUCUCAUGAUCAAUAUCCACUUCACACUUGCAAAAAAAAAAAAAAAUAGCUCAUCUUAAAAUACUCACACCACUACCUCUGCUGGCUCAGUGUGGCGUGGUUCACUCUCCCCCGAGGGUAGACUCCCCUCAACCCCACACAAUCCAGGCUCCCUGUACACUCCCACCCCCUACGCUCUCCUCCCAGUACACUCUCCCCCAGGGUACUCUCCCCGCCCACCCCAUACACUCUCCCCCCGCAGGGUACACUCUGCCCCUCAGGUAUAAUCUCCCCCCACCCCGGACACUAUCCCUGCAAGGUACAUUCUCCCCUACCCCGUGUACACCGCCCCCCACCCUGGGUACACUCUUCCCAGGACUCCCAACCUUCCACCCUAUUCCAGGGGUGGGCACAGGCAAGCAAGGUCCUUCUGGGAAACUUCAGUUUUGAGCUGAAGGACAUUGGCCUUUGGAACUAAGUCAGGAUGGCGUUGGCCCUGAUGGGCAUCAUAAAAAGGAGGUUUGAAAUAAAAGAGAAUUGUCUUGAGGUAUCAUCCGCAUGCCAUACGACUGACCCAUUUAAAGCGUGUGACUUUAUGGUUUGCAAUACACAGAGUUGUGCAACUAUCACCCCAAAAAGAAAGCCUGUGGGCAUUCUGACUUAUUUUAAAUUGUGGUAAAGCACACACAUAAAAUUUAUCAUCUUAACUAUUUUCAUGUACAGUUCUGCAGCGUGACAUACCCUCACACUGUUCCGCCAACCAAUCCCUAGAACCAUUUCAUCCUGCAAAACUGAAACUGUACCCAAAAAACAACAACCCCUCCCCUCCUCGCCCCUGGCAACCAGCAUCCUACUUUAUGUUUCUAUGAGCUGGACCACCCGAGGUGCCUCAUCUAAGUGGAAGCCUGCGGUGUUUGUCAUUCUGUGACUGAUUUACCUCACUUAGCAAAAUGUCUUCCAGGUUUAUCCAAGUUGUAGCAUGUGUCAGACAUUACAGGCUUUUUUAAAGGGAAGAGAAGGCGGGCAGGAAACAGGGAAGAAGGGUGGAGACCAGCCAUUGGGAGGCUGCUGCCCUGGUCACAACAGGAGACAAAUGGCAGUGGCCUCCCCAUAGCAGUGAUGGGGAGAAAGAGCAGGAGAUGGAUUCACGGACAUCUGGGGUCAGUGAAAGACACUUCAAGACAGGAGGACGGGACUUGCUGAUGGAUUUGAUGUGGGGCUAAGGGAGAGGAUGCUCCAGAAUAACACCCUGAGCACCUGAGAGAAGCAAGACUGCAGGGCACAGAUAUAGGAGGGCGGGAACACUAGAGGCAAGUAGCCCCCGGGAGCUACGUCUAAAUAAGCCUGAGAAGAAACACAAGCGGCUGGCCUCUGGGAGCUCAGGGCCGCCCUGGGAGGGAGUGUCUUUUCUUAGCCAAAAUGAGUUGAAGGUCAUGCUGUCACUUUACAGAGGCAGUAGUAAAAAAUCAACCAAUCACACCUGUUACAGGGAAAAGAGCCAUUGCUUAGGUUUCCCAAGUCAAGGCUAGUUGUCAAAGCCAUUGAAAAAGUGAGGAAGGCAUACAGAGAGUCUGGUCUUUCAGCCAAGGCCUAGCACGUGACCUAAGAGGUCAUGUCUUCAGCCUGAGCCUGGCUCUACCCCCAAAGAGCCCUAAGGUCACAAGCUAAUCAUACGUCUUCAAGUGUCUGUUUCCUUUAUUCCAAAGUCAAGAUAUGGAGUUCCCAUUGCAGCUCAGUGGAAACAAAUCUGACUAGUAUCCAUGAGGAGGCAGGUUCGAUCCCUAGCCUUGCUCAGUGGGUUAAGGAUCCAGCAUUACCAUGAACUGUGGUGUAGGUCACAGACAUGGCUCGGAUCGGGCGUUGCUGUAGCUGUGGUGUAGGCCAGCGGCUACAGCUCUGGUUUGACCCCUAGCCUAGGAACCUCCAUACGCCAUGGGUGCUGUGCUAAAAAGACAAAAAUAAAUAAAUAGUAAAUAAGUAAAAUCAAGAUAAACAAGCAACCUUUCAGGAUUGGUGGGAGAGUCAACGUACAACAGAGAGGAGGGAGAGUGUACGUGAGAGACUGAGAGAUUGUGUGUGUGUGUGUGUGUACACAUGCAUGUGCAUUACAGUUUAGGCAGGUGCACUGGGUGGUUUCAGUACUAGACAAGGAGUCAAAAUACCUAGUUUCUACACUAGUUCUGCACUAACUAGUUAUGUAACAACAUACAAGUUACUUCCUUCUCUUGUCUUGGGCUUCCUCACUCAUUCAAGUCUCCAGGAGAGCUGAUAAACUGACUUGCCAACUAGCAGCAGGGAAAGGUAAGAGCCCACCCAUGAACACUGCAAGCCCCAAAGGUUGAGGUGUUCAUUCUAUUAGGUUUCUCCUGAGACAUGGGAUAAGGAUCUAAAGUAAGAAAGGUUCAGAGAAAUUCUGAUCAAGAAGCAAUCAGACCCCAGCUGCCCUCUGCCCCUCUGCAGAGCUGAACAUUGAACAUUUUUUUUUCUUUUGCUUUUUAGGGCCGCACCUGCAGCAUAUGGAGAUUCCCAGGCUAGGGGUCCAAGUGGAGCUACAGCUACCAGCCACAGCCACAGUCACACAGGACCCGAGCCACAUCUGUGAAUUACACCACAGCUCACAGCAAUGCCAGAUCCCUAAUCCAAUGAGCAAGGCCAGGGAUUGAACCCGCAACCUCAUGGUUCCUAUUCAGAUUUGCUUCCACUGUGCCACGACGGGAACUCCGAGCACUGCACAUUCUCACCUGUGGCAAACCGACCUGGGAGAUGCAUCACAGGACAGCCCAUAUUAGAGGGUCUCUUCAUCGAAAGACCGCAGCACUGGUUGCAGGCGAGGGUAACUCAUAUAAAAUAGAGGGUUAAAUAGAGAAUUAGGCAAACAAAGGAGGAUUCUGAGAUAAUCACACAGAUACACACCCCAGCCUUCUCAUCCCCACUGGCUCUCCAUAACACCAACAGUCUGCCCUUCACUCUCCAGGCAGGAGAUGGUAGUUGCUCUGAAGAAUCUGAGCAACCAAAGAGGAAAGCCCAGAAGAUAUCAACACUGAUUCUCUUUUCUUGAGUUAACUCGGGUUUACAAAGCUGUAUACAUUUUAUGCAUAUAACAUGACAGGUCGACUUCUGGAUACGCUUGGCUCCCAUGCACAUGCACCACCACCAAACACCAGGUACUAAGGAAAACAGUAUGGCAACUCCUCAAAAAAAGAACCAAACGAUCAUGGGAUCCAGCUAUUCCAAUCCUAGGUAUUUACCUAAAGAAUGGAAAACCAAGUCAAUAAGACACAUGCACCCCUAUGUUCUUCGUAUUAUUGUUGUACUAUUGUCAUUAUUUACCACAGCCAAGAUAUGGGAACAAUCUAAGCCACCACUGAUGUAAGAAGGGAUGAAGAAGAUGUGGUCCAUAUGCAGACAAUGCAACUACUCAACCAAGACUGAUUUUUAAACAGACAACCCAGCCACAUCACCCUACAGGGAGACUUGGCGUCAACAUGCCCUACCCACACACCAAAGCCUACAGGCAGCUUCAAAGUCCUUCUUACAGAUGAACCAACAACUGCGUAUUAUCAGACACUGGAGGAAAGCUGUGAACAUGAAAGACAAAGAUCAAAACAGAGGGGGAAAUGAAGUGAGAAACUGGGAAGCAAAAAGACUCUACAGGGAGGGGAGAAAGCAAAAAUAAUUUUGAUUAAUAUCCUCAGAGGGAUAAGAAAAGAUAUUGCAACUAUGAAAUAUAAGUAGCGUGGUACCAUAAAAGACCAUCUGGAAAAAAUUUUUUAAAGUCUUGGGAAGUUAAAUUUAUGUACAUGUGUAUAUUCGAACGAAUAAACAUGUUUCCUGGGGAGGCAACAGUGGAAAUGGAUGGAUGGUGGGCAAGAUGAAAACGAAACUCUCUAUUUAGACUUUUUUGAACGAUGUGAAUGUAUUAUCCACUUUCUCCUUUAAUGGUGUCUAAAUAUCACGGGACAUCCCUGAACGGGCUACUUAGGUAGCUGAUGGCUUACACAGAUGUUUCAGGGCCACGUGGCAACCCAGUCAUACCCAGAACACUAGUUCCAGGGCAAAAUGCAUCCAAAGCUGCCUAAUGAUUCCCUUAUAAACCAACAAAUUUCAUAGACCUCAACUGAAACUGCUGACAUGAAAUAAGAACAAAGGAAGGAAAGCAGGGAGGGAGGCCACGGGUCAGCUUGUGUCGUGAUGACAAAAUACAAUAGCCUGGGGGCUUCGACAACACAAAUUAAUGUUCUUGCCGUUCUGGAGGCCACAAGUCCGAGACCAGGGUGCCAGCAUGGGUGAGCUCUGGCGAGACUCUCCUUCUGGCUUGUCAAUGACGCCCUUCUCACUGUGCACACAUGUGGCAGAUGGACAAAGAAAUCUAUCACACUAGGACCCUCACCCUUCAACUUUAAUUACCAUCUAAAAGCCCUGUCUCCAAGCACUGUCACCAUGAGGGUUAGGGCUUCAGCAUCCGAAUUCUGGGGGAAAUAUAAUUCAGGCCAUGCAUGGCCCGAGAAUGUAACUGAAAGUCAGAGUGUGUACACUGAGCGUUUGGAAGGAUGCUCAUCAAAAAGCAAAACCAAGACCAACAGGAAUGAACGGGUACCUGGGCACUCUUGGUGUGUGCCAUUGGCUGACUGGAUCAGGGGUCAACCCCUGCCACCUGCUCUUCAGGCUCCUCCUUACACACCCUCGCCAAUCUCCCCAAGUACCAUUGUUAAUACUAUCUGCACCCUUCCUUGUGAGCAAUCACCUUACAGAACCUGGAAUUGAAUUUUAAAUCUAAACCUCAUUAUGGCAAAGGACUGACAUAAAUGGAAGUGGUCCAGAGCAUUGGAAGUUACAUUGUAUUCUCUUGUACCCAAAUUCAAUUCAAGCUUUAUUCUUCUAAUCGGCCCGUUUUAUUUUUUCCCAAAAGCCUAUUGCUCCAAAGCAAAUGCCAGGAAAAAAAAAAUAGUCUAACUAAUAUGAAAAAGAAAGAUAAAUGUCUUAUGAAAAUGAUGUCUAUUGACCCAGAUCCUGCUGAGUGAGCAAGCGAAUCCUUGGGUGCAAACGAGGCACUUAUUACUGCUAUGCAAGCCUCCGGAGGCUUCAUUUCUUACAUGCCUGUCGGAGGGCACUAAUAGUUCUUUAAUAACCUGAAGAGCAAGGGAGUUUUCUAACAUGACAGCUGAUCCUCGUUCACUGGGCAGAAAGUGGCUGAGCCUUCCUCACGACUGUGGCUGUGAUUCUGGAUGGCAACGAGUGAGGCUAAAUCAAAUGUUCAACAUCAGAGCAUCUGAGAAGAAACCCGCCCGACGGAAGAGUGGUGAGGUUUCUCCCAUCUCGUUAUCAUCUUCCUCCCCGUUUUCUCAGGCCACAGGAUCAGCCCUCGAGGCAUCUGCCACUGAAGUAUCUGCAGCACAGUAUUCCAGAGAAAUUGGGGGCACCAGGCAGAGGGUCUGCCUCCGCUUCCAGCCCAGAGACCCAGCCACGGAACCAACCUCCUUUCUCCAGCCUCUGUUUUCACAGAUGCAAGAUAAAGGGAUUGAACCAAGGUUCUUUUCACUCCCCAAGUCUGUGAUGCCAGCGUUUAUCAAAUCACGCUGCUCAGGGAGAUAAAUCCCAUCAGAAGUCUUAGCCACCUGCCAGGCCUGAACCACUGCGCACCACAGAUGAGUGGCAAGCCAAGCGCACGUGCUGGCUCCCCAUGCACAGGGAGGGAACAGGAACGCGGCUAAUGGGGCAGCUUCGUCAUCACCUCAGAGGCCCUGACCUCGGGUUCCAGUCACACAAGGCUGACAGCUGUGUCUUAUGCCGCAUGGAUGACAAACCAAUCCACUGUGCACGGGCCAUUGACUCC